UUCUACAGCGCAUGCGUUUCGCCCACCCGGGCCCGGGCGCGGUUAGGGGUGACUCCCACGAUCCCUAGCGGCUGCGGAGUGGAAAAUGGCGGCCUCCUUGCCGCUUGGGUUACUGGAGCCCACCCGGCCUCGUGCUUUCUCCGGGCGCCUGUAGCUGGCGCCGGCAUCCACAAAAAUAGAUCAGCUUUCCGACUCCACUGGAUAGAGGAUGAAUAAAGAGGAAGCUCCAGGCUAUGAAGUGUCUAAUCCUUGCUCCCCUCAGAAGUUGGGACAUGUUGGACCAAGGUGGUAAGGAUAGUGAGGAACAGAAACCCAGACACCUGGGAGUGGGACGGCUUCAAGUUCCUGAAAGUUGAGCAGUUUAUUUGGAGGUAAAUCAGUGAUAUUUUAUAGAGGAAGUAGAGGAAUGUGUAUUCUGGAAAAGAGAGACAGAAAUCUGUCUUUUCAUCUUGGUUAAAUUUCUAAUUCUCCUGGGUGAGAGGGAAGCAGACUAAUUACCCAUCAUGCAGAGCCUAAUUAUAAAGUUCCCUGGGUCUCAGGUCACUGAAAAACAUCCCUUUACCUGGUUAGAGCCAAGAAAAAAUUCCUAGGUUUGAUGGAAAGACAGAAUCCAACUAAAAUUUGGCAACCCUGGGUCCCUAUUGUCUCCUAGGAAUUUUGUAGUGUUGGCAGAACAAAAGCUGUUUCCACAAAUGGGGAGGAAAGAGAUUAGGAAACACACUCAAGACAAACGAAAUGACUUUCUCCUUAAGUAUGACCUCUCAGAAGUGGUCUGACACAAUACGGUUAAUAGUAAGAUAAAUACAAAUUAAAACUACUGAUAUCAUGUUUUACUCUUAUUGUCCUGAGGCCAAAGAUUUAACAAUACACUGUGAUGCUGGGGCUGGGAGGAGAUUGCACCUUUAUAGCCCGGUGGUGGCAGUCCAGAGUGCAACCCCUAGAGAUGGCAACUUGACAAGACCUCUCAAAAAACACUACACACAGCUUUUGAGCCCCUCACCCCACUUCUGAGAGUAUGUCCUGUGGCAACAUGUGCACACAUGGAAAAUAAAGUCUGUACAAGGUGAGUUACUGCAGCAUUGUUCAUAAUAGCAAAAUACUGGAAAUGACUCAAAUACUCAUUAAUAGGGCACUAGCCAAGUAAAUUAUAGCACACUUACAUAAAGGAAUACUAGGCAGCUAUAACAGAGCUUACUCCUCAUUUUUUUUUUCUCUUAUGAAAUGGGAGUUUCGCUCUUGUCAUCCAGGCUGGAGUGCAAUGGCGCAGUCUCGGCUCACUACAACCUCCGCCUCCCAGGUUCAAGUGAUUCUCCUGCCUCAGCCUCCCAAGUAGCUGGGAUUACAGGCACCUGCUACCAUGCCCAGCUAAUUUUUGUAUUUUUAGUGGAGACGGGGUUUCAUCAUAUUGGCCAGGCUGGUCUCAAACUCCUGACCUCAGGUGAUCCACCCAUCUUGGCCUCCCAAAGCGCUGGGAUUACAGGCUUGAGCCACCGCGCCCAGCCUACUCCUCUUUUAUAUACUGGUAUUGGGAGUGUCAAAAAUGCAUUAAGUGAAAAAGUAAACUGCAAAACCGUAUAUGUGUGAAAGCAAGAAAAAAGUUAUGUUUUUAUAUGUGCUUAAGCCACAGUACAAGAAACAUUAACAACAGGAGCUUCUUGUGGGGGUAUUGGUCAGAUGGGAUGGGAUAAGGGUGAGACUUUUCAUUUUUUUUAUUUUUGAACCAUAUAAAUAUGCCACCUAUAAAAAUAAUAUAAAAGGUAAAUACUAGAAAGCAAAACAAAACAAAUGAGAGAGCAUACCUGGGCAACCCCUUCUUCCCAGCCUCGGAUCACCUCCUGCUUGCCUAGCAUAAACUUAAAGGGCUUGUUUCUGUCCCGGGAGGAAUCAAAUUUCUUUCCAUCUUCAAGCAUCCCUGUGAAAAAGGCCACUGUAACAUGAGCAACAGAGUAAUGACACAAGACAAGUCAGAAACCAGCAGCAGAGCACUCAUCAGAGAUGCCAGUGCUGAAGAGUCUGGCAGGAACUGCAGUAUCCAGGGAGGGUUUCCUGUGACCUCACUGGACAUCUAAGGAGUUGCAGUAGUCCUACUCCAGACCUGUGAAUGCUCUUCCCUGACUCCAGGCAAUAACCCAACUACAAAAGGACCCCGCGUACCAGAGAUGGGUGGCAGUCCACCUUCUUCUGGAGAUGGGGAGUAUAAACUUCCUCCUGCCCUGACUCUCCUAGCACCCCGUGGAUUUUCUCCCGAACUAAAAAUAACUGUGGUCCCUCGAGGUACACAGUGUCUAGAAGUCACACACAGUGCAAGAAGCAAUAUUCCUUCCCAAAAUCCCCCAUCAUCUUUCACAUAUAAUGUGUUCAUAUAUUGCUCCUCCAUUGUUCAGUGCAGGCAAAUCCCUCUCCACCAUCUACCACCCCCAUGGUCUCCUCUCUGGUUCACUAAUUGUGACCUACACACAUUGCUGCUCUCCAGGCUGUGGGUCAGCACUAUGGGAUGUGGUAAGAGGAAGCUAUAAGGCAAGCCUUCACCCUCAUUCUAGUGCCAAGUGUCUCACACCAACAGGGAACCUGGGACAUAAAGCUGGGCCCGUGUAGGCUGGUUCCUGAGUUGUCAUAAUUUUCCUGGGAAAAGUAAAAACCAACCUGGGCUGAAGUAGAGAAAUGAAAGAAAGAAUUUGUGCAGCAUUCAUCCCACUUAUUUUAACCAAUGCUGCCCCAGAAAACAACCCGUGCUCAUUUUUGCACAGCUAAUACUUUGUAACAGAGAUGACUGAAGAGAACAGGAAUACUAAGGAGGUUGAAGUGGUUGCCCUUGAAGAAUUAACUCAGUAAAUCCAGCCAACUGCUAGGAACUCUGUGGGCAGUGGUUCCACUCUGAGUUACUCUAAAUGGGCUAGGUGCUUUCCACACAUGAACGAAUUCAAUUCUUUCUCCACAGCACUAUCCCCAUUUCACAGAAGAAACUGAGGCAGACAGGGAGAAGUGAAGCAGCUUGCCAAGAUAGUAAAACUACGUUAUAAAUUAUAAACCCAAAUACCAUGCUCUUUCUACUAUCCCAGUUUCCCAGAAGCUGGACAAGCCACGACAGCGCCUUCCAAUAAAAGGGGAACUCCAGAGAUGCUAUGAGAAAAGAGGAACAGACAUCUGCAAUAGAUAUCUGCAACUUCCUUUUCAAAAACACCAUCGGCAUUGCUUUCUCAGGAAGCCACUGCCAGCCUAUUGUGAUAGCUGACACUGAGUUCCUGAAAAUUCUCUAAUUAGGAUCCCAGACUGGAGGGUCAGCCAGUGGUUAACAUAUAACGGACACAAAACUGAUUUUAUUGGAAGACUGAGGGUGGGCACUCACCAUGGUUCUAAGCAUUACUCAGAAGAUCCAUAAAAACAUUACAGUUCUGUUUUGUAAGAGUUUAGGAAAAAAAGAAAAUCCUGACAAAAAUCCCAACCUAAAAAAUAAUGUCAACACUUGUAAGUAGGAUGGGGAGGCAGAGAUGAAUUGGCACCGUUAUCACAGCUACUAGACUAUGUGGACUUUAACAAAAUAAGAAACAGGGGUGGGGGUUGGGUGGUGGUAUCUUAGCAGAGCAGGAGUAAAGACGGAUGUCCUGGGGCAGAAUGGGUACCAAUGCUGCCUGGAGCUGGGAGCUGAGGACUAAGAGGUAGACAGGAGGGUGGGGACCCGUCCCUGCUCCAAGGAACUGGUGCCCCAGAACUGGUAAGCUGGGGUAUGCAUUUAGCUCAUUCGUUUACCAGAAUGCAGUCACCACCUGAUGAAAGAAAUGACUAAUGGCAGGACUUGAACAGUUCUCUAUAAAUGAGUACCUGGCAGAAAAACAGGUCUCCAGGCUCCACAAUACCCACCAAACACACUGCCUUUAGCCCAUUUCAAGCUGCACUUCUUACAUGGAACCCAACCUAACCAACCUCAGAGGUAAGGGUGAGAGCAGAAAAUGAACAGCUAUGAUUCUCCAUUCCCUGGCCAGGCAGAGAGCCUUUCCAUCCACCCUUGUGAGACUGCUUGUAACAGAAAUAAGGAAACCAACUCCAAGGCUCAGUAACCCACCCAAGGUCAGAACCACUGAGUGGCAGGGCCUGUGAGCCACAAAGGAGACUGAAAACCAGAAAGAGCUUCUCUCUGGUCUGUUAUUUUAAGAAAAACAUGCCCAGAGGGGCCACCUGGAACCAAGGCUGUGGCACCCUUACCUUCCGCUCUAAUUAAACAACAACUUCCCAGGAGCAACAACAGCAACAAUAGCCUGGCCCAGCAGAUGAACUGGAAUCAAUCCAAGCCUUUCCCCUAUGCCAGGGCUGGUGUGGCGCAGGCAUACGGGUCAGUUUCAGCACUAACACCUACUUAGUUUGGGCACUACUUUACCUGCUGUGAAGUCUACUGGGAUCUUCCAGGAAAGUCCUACCUCAUUAGUAAAAAGAAAAAGACUCAGGAAGAAAGUUCCUGCUCUCCCUGUUGAAUGCUGUGUGAGGAUAAGAUGUUUGGAGCAUGGCAGUCACCCUGUGACUAUGAGAAGGCCAGGCAUACCACAAGGUGGUCAUUCCAGUGCUCUGAAUCAACCCCAAACCACUUCCCUCAAGAUUCAUAUUCUGAGGUGAUUAAAAGUGCUUUGAAGGUAAAUCUAUGGUGACAGUCAACAGAUCAGCGAUUGCCAGGAGUCAGGGGUAGAGGGAGGGAAGAACAGAUGGAGCACAGAGAAAUUUUGGGGCAGUGAAAAUGUUCUGUGUAAUACUAUAUAUAAUGGAUACAUGCCAUUAUACACUUGUCCAAACCCACAGAAUGUACACCACCAAGAGUGAACCCUAAUGUAAACUAUGGACUUUGGGUGAUCAUGAUGUGUCAAUGCACGUUUGUCAGUUGCAACACAUGUACCAUUCUAGUGGAGGGUGUUGAAAAUAGGAGGCCAUGCAUGUGUGGGACCAGGGGAUAUAUGGGAAAUCUCUGUACAUGCCUCUCAAUUUUGCUGAGAAUCUAAAACUGCUCUUAAUAAAGUCUUACAAAAAUAAAGAAGUCUGCUUUGCCUUA
Molecule: long non-coding RNA, 5032 nt
Organism: Symphalangus syndactylus (siamang)
Lineage: Eukaryota; Metazoa; Chordata; Mammalia; Primates; Hylobatidae
Source: RefSeq, a predicted model, not a curated record